RNAcentral lists this ribosomal RNA (178 nucleotides) under uncultured bacterium. RNAcentral describes it as "partial 16S ribosomal RNA". It matches the Rfam family "Bacterial small subunit ribosomal RNA", at positions 514 to 691 of the family's 1533-position model. The record is from RNAcentral.
GCCGCGGUAAUACGUAGGGGGCAAGCGUUAUCCGGAUUCACUGGGCGUAAAGGGAGCGCAGGCGGCACGGCAAGUCUGGUGUGAAAGCCCGGGGCCCAACCCCGGGACUGCAUCCGAAACUGCCGGGCUGGAGUGCCGGAGGGGCAACCCCAAUUCCUGGUGUAGCGGUGAAAGGCGC